ACGUGAUCGAUGUACACUCAAAAUAAUCCACAUGUCAAGGCUACGUGAAAAUUCACGUAGAUCCCUGUAAAAUGAACUUUUCCUCAAUUUACCUGACAACGGUAACAAUCAUCUAACCGUUGGUAAGGAUGAAAUGAGACUUCAGUAAUAUUUACUGUUAAUGAUCAUCACUCCUACGUGAAAAUCACGUACCCCACUUAGAUUCAUUUCGAUAGGUAGUUCAUUCUGUGUUGUGGUUUGAUAUUUGACAUUUCAUAUCACGUUCAUCAUUUGUUGUGCUCGAGAUGGUGAAGAUGAGGUCAGUUGUUCCUGAAAGAAUUUCUCAUUUUGAAGUAUGGAGGCGAAUUGCAAAUCAAAUCAGCAUCAGAUUUUUGAGCCCGAAGAGUUUUUGCGGCACUUGAUUGAUUUGUUUCAUUCUACCCAAAGCGAGCUGUGUAAAUCUGGAUCUGCGGACAACCUCGGUACCAAGUUGUAUACCCGUUAAACAUCUACUGAACAAAGCACCACUAUCCAGCGAAGCACCUAGUAACUCGGUCGGAACUACAAUGCCAUCGAUUUAAUAUAAUAAAACACUUUUCUUCAGAUAGUUGAACCUUUUUUGAGUUAAAUAAACCUUAUGAAAAUCAAAA
Long non-coding RNA from Aedes aegypti (yellow fever mosquito), 629 nucleotides. RefSeq lists it as uncharacterized. The record is from RefSeq and is a predicted model, not a curated record. Lineage: Eukaryota; Metazoa; Arthropoda; Insecta; Diptera; Culicidae. The transcript has 2 exons.